CAGCAGCCACGGGAAUACGGAGGGUGCAAGCGUUAAUCGGAAUUACUGGGCGUAAAGCGCACGCAGGCGGUCUGUCAAGCCAGAUGUGAAAUCCCCGGGCUUAACCUGGGAACUGCAUUUGAAACUGGCAGGCUAGAGUCUUGUAGAGGGGGGUAGAAUUCCAGGUGUAGCGGUGAAAUGCGUAGAGAUCUGGAGGAAUACCGGUGGCGAAGGCGGCCCCCUGGACAAAGACUGACGCUCAGGUGCGAAAGCGUGGGGAGCAAACAGGAUUAGAGACCCGCGUAGUCCCUGUCUCUUAUAC
Molecule: ribosomal RNA, 301 nt
Filed under: uncultured bacterium
Lineage: Bacteria
Description: partial 16S ribosomal RNA
Rfam family: Bacterial small subunit ribosomal RNA
Source: RNAcentral